This 433-nucleotide ribosomal RNA is filed under the name uncultured bacterium. RNAcentral describes it as "partial 16S ribosomal RNA". It matches the Rfam family "Bacterial small subunit ribosomal RNA", at positions 29 to 507 of the family's 1533-position model. The record is from RNAcentral.
AACGAACGCUGGCGGCAUGCCUAACACAUGCAAGUCGAACGAGACCUUCGUGUCUAGUUGCGCACGGGUGCGUCACGUGUCGGAAGCUGCCCUUAGGUUCGGAAUAACUCCCUGAAGGGGGUGCUAAUGCCGGGUAAUGUCUUCGGACAAAAUAUUUAUCGAAUUUGGAGGGGCACGCGUUGUAUUAGCUAGUUGGUAGGGUAUAAGCCUAUGAAGGCGUAGAUAGAUAGCUGGUCUGAGAGGAUGCGCAGCCACACUGGGACUGAGACCCGGCCCAGACUCCUACGGGAGGCGGCAGAGGGUAAUAUUGCACAAUCGCCGAAGGCCAGAACCAGCAAGGCCGCGUGAGUGAUGAAGGCCUGAGAGUAGUAAAGCACUUUUACCCGGGAUGAUAAUGACAGUACCGGGAGAAUAAGCACCGGCUAACUUCGUG